GAUGAAGAACGCAGCGAAAUGCGAUACGUAAUGUGAAUUGCAGAAUUUAGUGAAUCAUCGAAUCUUUGAACGCACAUUGCGCCUGCCAGCACUCUGGCAGGCAUGCCUGUUCGAGCGUCAUUUCAACCAUCAAGCCCUAGGCUUGCGUUGGAGCCCUGCGGCUGCCGCAGGCCCCUAAAAGCAGUGGCGGGCUCGCUAUCACACCGAGUGCAGUAGAUUACUCUUCGCUCAGGGCGUGUGGCGGGUUCCAGCCGUGAAACCCCCUACUUCUCAAGGUUGACCUCGGAUCAGGUAGGAAUACCCGCUGAACUUAAGCAUAUCAAUAAGCGGAGGA
RNAcentral lists this unclassified non-coding RNA (334 nucleotides) under soil metagenome. RNAcentral's name for it is "partial contains 5.8S ribosomal RNA, internal transcribed spacer 2, and large subunit ribosomal RNA". The stretch from base 1 to 120 matches the Rfam family "5.8S ribosomal RNA", at positions 35 to 154 of the family's 154-position model. The record is from RNAcentral.